Molecule: long non-coding RNA, 852 nt
Organism: Diabrotica virgifera virgifera (western corn rootworm)
Lineage: Eukaryota; Metazoa; Arthropoda; Insecta; Coleoptera; Chrysomelidae
Exons: 3
Source: RefSeq, a predicted model, not a curated record
GAAUCUACAGGUCGAGCAAGUCUCGUAAAUUUCACGAUUGCGAGCCACGCUUCACGCAACCGUGUUUGCGUACUUGUGUUUCAAGUUGCGUGGUCGUACGGAGUUAUAUUUACCAAAUUUAAAUAUAAUCGUUUUCAAAAUUAAAUCAAUAUGGCUACUGGGUGUAAAAGAUAAAUCUUAUUCUAUCUGUUCUUAAUGAGUUUUAGAUAAUUUUAGUUGUAUUUCUUUGUAAUUUUGUGUUGUACAAAGAUUAAUUUAACAUUUUCUCUGGAAGUAUUAAUUUAGAAAGAUAAUAUGCUUCAUUGGUGUUGUGUUUUGAAGUGUGAAAUGUGAUAAAGUCAAGAUAAAGUUCACUUUUAAACUGAACUAAAUAAGGUAUCUGAGAGACAACAAUGGUUAAAUGCAAUACAAUGUACAGGUUUUACUAGCGAAAUGAAAAUUUUCCUGUCCUGUCUGCUGUAAUCAUUUUAUAUCUGGAAAACCAGCCGACUUAAUAGAUAAUAACAAUCUCCAGAUUGGGUUCCUUCAAUAAAUAUGGUCUAUAAACACAAUGAAAUAAGUUCCCCAAAAUCUAAAAUGGAGUGGUAUCAAAGGAGAAUUAAAGGGAAAAAUAUUCCUAUUGAAAUUAUUUAUAAGGCACUGGACUGUCUUAAAUUCUACAAUAAUACUAGAAUCAGCUGAGAGAAGUGGUCUACAAAAAACCAGGAAGGAAACGGAAUAUGUGGCUACGAAAGGCAAAAGAAAGGUUUACAAAGCAAAUGUGACACAUUUUUUUGAAAUAUUUAGGAAUAUCAGUAAAUUGCAUUAAAAAAAUGUAUGAAAAGAUUUGUUCAAUAAAAAUGUUUAUAUUUA